GGCUUUGUGUGGCAUAGUGGUUUGAGUGCUGGACUACCACUCUGAAGACCAGGGUUCAAUUCCCAGCUCUGCCA
Non-coding RNA from Phrynosoma platyrhinos (Desert horned lizard), 74 nucleotides. Lineage: Eukaryota; Metazoa; Chordata; Lepidosauria; Squamata; Phrynosomatidae. The record is from the annotation of a GenBank genome assembly.